Molecule: ribosomal RNA, 303 nt
Filed under: uncultured bacterium
Lineage: Bacteria
Description: partial 16S ribosomal RNA
Rfam family: Bacterial small subunit ribosomal RNA
Source: RNAcentral
AGCAGUCGCCGCGGGAAUACGUAGGUCCCGAGCGUUAUCCGGAGUGACUGGGCGUAAAGAGUUGCGUAGGCGGUCAAGUUAGCGAGCGAUGAAAACUAUCGGCUCAAUCGAUAGCUUGUUGUUCGAACUGCUUGACUCGAGAGUAUCAGAGGUCGCUGGAAUUCCUAGUGUAGCAGUGAAAUGCGUAGAGAUGUGGAGGAACACCAGUGGCGAAGGCGACUCUCUGGUCUGUAACUGACGCUGAGGAGCGAAAGCGUGGGGAGCGAACAGGAUUAGAUACCCCGGUAGUCCCUGUCUCUUAUU